This 202-nucleotide ribosomal RNA is filed under the name Staphylococcus aureus. Its description in RNAcentral is "partial 16S ribosomal RNA". It matches the Rfam family "Bacterial small subunit ribosomal RNA", at positions 1 to 197 of the family's 1533-position model. The record is from RNAcentral. Lineage: Bacteria; Bacillati; Bacillota; Bacilli; Caryophanales; Staphylococcaceae. RNAcentral also lists the same sequence under 2 other names.
UUUAUGGAGAGUUUGAUCCUGGCUCAGGAUGAACGCUGGCGGCGUGCCUAAUACAUGCAAGUCGAGCGAACGGAUGAGAAGCUUGCUUCUCUGAUGUUAGCGGCGGACGGGUGAGUAACACGUGGAUAACCUACCUAUAAGACUGGGAUAACUUCGGGAAACCGGAGCUAAUACCGGAUAAUAUUUUGAACCGCAUGGUUCA